Molecule: ribosomal RNA, 494 nt
Filed under: uncultured bacterium
Lineage: Bacteria
Description: partial 16S ribosomal RNA
Rfam family: Bacterial small subunit ribosomal RNA
Source: RNAcentral
GACGAACGCUGGCGGCGCGCUUAACACAUGCAAGUCGAACGGAAAGGCCUGCUUUCCCUUGUGGUUUGCGGGUACUCGAGUGGCGAACGGGUGAGUAACACGUGAGUGAUCUGCCCCCAACUUGGGUAUAAGCCUGGGAAACUGGGUCUAAUUCCCGAUAGGACUGCAGGGUGGUGCCUGUGGUGGAAAACGAUUUUCUAGUGGUUGGGGAUGAGCUCGCGGCCUAUCAGCUUGUUGGUGGGGUAAUUGCCUACCAAGGCGGCGACGGGUAGCCGGCCGGGGAGGGGGGACGGCGAAAUUGGGACUGGGAUCAGGCCCAGACUGCUGCGGGAGGCAGCAGAGGGGCAGAUUAGACAAUGGGCGGAAGCCUGAUGCAGCGAGGCAGCGUGGGGGAUGACGGCCUUCGGGUUGUAAGCUACUUGCGAACGAGAGGAAGCCACCUGGUUGGAAGGGUGGUGACGGUAGUGGUAGAAGAAGCACCGGCUAACUACGUG